UACGGAGGGUGCAAGCGUUAAUCGGAAUUACUGGGCGUAAAGCGUGCGCAGGCGGUUUGUUAAGUCCGUUGUGAAAGCCCCGAGCUCAACUUGGGAAUUGCAGUGGAUACUGGCAGGCUCGAGGGCAGGAGAGGAACGCGGAAUUCCAGGUGUAGCGGUGAAAUGCGUAGAUAUCUGGAGGAACACCGGUGGCGAAGGCGGCGUUCUGGACUGUCUCUGACACUGAAGAACGAAAGCCAGGGGAGCAAACGGG
This 253-nucleotide ribosomal RNA is filed under the name uncultured bacterium. Its description in RNAcentral is "partial 16S ribosomal RNA". It matches the Rfam family "Bacterial small subunit ribosomal RNA", at positions 524 to 776 of the family's 1533-position model. The record is from RNAcentral.